AGGUCCCCACCGAAGCAACCUUCAUGACUUUUUUACAGAUCACUUCUCCAAGAGACCCAAUCUCGCUGUCCACUCCAGUGUCCCGACGUCCUGCGAAAUCUUGCACCAACAGAUUGACGUUAAAAGAAGGGCUAUUCCCAUUUGGAGAAGUACAAAUUGAGAGCAGUAAAAUCAUGCCACCUAAGAGAGCUUCAUCCUACCA
This 202-nucleotide long non-coding RNA is filed under the name Elaeis guineensis (African oil palm). RNAcentral describes it as "long non-coding RNA (EGUI_LNC010578)". Lineage: Eukaryota; Viridiplantae; Streptophyta; Magnoliopsida; Arecales; Arecaceae. The record is from RNAcentral.